RNAcentral lists this unclassified non-coding RNA (398 nucleotides) under Constantinomyces oldenburgensis. RNAcentral describes it as "sequence contains 18S rRNA gene, ITS1, 5.8S rRNA gene, ITS2, 28S rRNA gene". The stretch from base 208 to 361 matches the Rfam family "5.8S ribosomal RNA". The record is from RNAcentral. Lineage: Eukaryota; Fungi; Ascomycota; Dothideomycetes; Mycosphaerellales; Teratosphaeriaceae.
CAGGAAGUAAAAGUCGUAACAAGGUCUCCGUAGGUGAACCUGCGGAGGGAUCAUUACCGAGCGAGGGCCUCCGGGUCCGACCUCUCAACCCCAUGUUAUCCGACACUGUUGCCUCGGGGGCGACCCGGCCUCACACGGGCGUCGGGGCCCCCGGCGGACCGUCAAACGCUGCAUCUGUGCGUCCGAGUCUUAUGAGAAAUCAAUCAAAACUUUCAACAACGGAUCUCUUGGUUCUAGCAUCGAUGAAGAACGCAGCGAAAUGCGAUAAGUAAUGUGAAUUGCAGAAUUCAGUGAAUCAUCGAAUCUUUGAACGCACAUUGCGCCCUCUGGUAUUCCGGGGGGCAUGCCUGUUCGAGCGUCAUUUCACCACUCCAGCCUCGCUGGGCCUUGGGCGCCGC